UACGUUUUUACUUGCAGGGUAUUUUAAUAAGUAACUGUUGGAAGGGACACAAAUAUAUUUUCAAUCGAUUCAUCGUUAACUCAAAUUGUGGCACAACCAAAUGAUAAAGACCCAGUUUCUCGAAUAAUCGUGACCUCAACCACACCACUAGAAUAUGCAUAUAGCGUAGACCAAUCACUUUUAAUUCAAGCAUUCAAAUUUUGUUUUCAUCAAAGAUUUUGAGACAAACAAGUGUCUGACACUCCUGAAGAACCAUACGGAGUCAAUUACAUCUCUCGAAUCGCCCGAUCCCUCCAUUGUCAUAUCCGGGGCUACCAAUGGGGUAGUUGUCAUGACUGAUGUACGGAUGGGAAAUGAGCCCUUUCGACAACUGCACUUUUUGGGGAGAAAAGAAUGGUGUUUAUUUAUUAGGGUGUGUGGGGCACAUAAAAUAUAAUUGCACUCAUCUUUUUGCAGUGGGGAAUGACACGCAUGUCCAUGUGUAUGACGACCGAGUAUUCAUCACUCUUAUUGGCAGAAUGAACAACAACCAAUACUCACAGACUGCUGCCACGGGGAGUACAUCACAAGCAUUGAUUGGUUUCCCCGCACUGGACGGGGAUUAGUCAUUGCCAGUGACCACCACAUUUGCCAGGUUAUUCCACAUAUCGGAGUACACAGAUCUACGACGUCCAUACCCUUGUCCCAUCUCAAAUAAUAUACCACAGACCUGUCUGGAAACUUCAGAGCGACGUAUUCCCAGUUUUCUAGUUUAGUACAACGAGAAAUUACUGAUGGGGAUAUCCUCUCCAUUCAAUCACUCGCAGGAAGUCAAUAUUCGUCUUUUAUCCAACACCGAAACCUACAAAGUUCUAUCUGUGCGUCAAGAUUCCAUUUCUGAGUAUUUCUUGGGUUUGUCGUCCUCUGUUUCCUCCGCUGUCUUUACAUGGACAUACGCAGAUAGUUUAUCUCGGCUCAGACUAAAUCAAUAUUGUUCGGAGAUUAUGGUAUUCCAGAUUUGUUGUCGUACUUAAGUCUUUGGACAGUCUUUCCAUCUCUGAUAAUUCAAAUAAACACGCGGAUAAUCUAUGCCCAUGGAAGUUUUGGUUCUCUGUCUUGAAAAGCAAUUUUGACGGAAAUGUGGAAAUUCUAUCAGUUAGUCAGCCUUUCAUUGCAGGAAAAUCAUUCUACUGGGGAAUACUCAAUAAACUUGUCGGUGUGGCCCUUCUUUGCGUCCUUUCGUCUAAAAUGCACGAUGGAGGGUUAUAUUUGUGUUGAAUUAUUGGACUGUUCGAGUGGAGACAUCGACAUUCGAUCAUUUGUACACCGUUCAGUAUAUUCUAGUUGAGCGAACGUGCUUACGCAGGGAUAAACGAGAUUUAUAAACUUCUUGGGGACAUAAGCGACGAAUUUAGAAAGGCAAAACGAACAAAAAGAUGCCUAAAUGCGGCAAAUAUUGGAGGAACUCGGUUCUUUA
Molecule: long non-coding RNA, 1456 nt
Organism: Octopus sinensis (East Asian common octopus)
Lineage: Eukaryota; Metazoa; Mollusca; Cephalopoda; Octopoda; Octopodidae
Exons: 3
Source: RefSeq, a predicted model, not a curated record